Molecule: long non-coding RNA, 439 nt
Organism: Oncorhynchus tshawytscha (Chinook salmon)
Lineage: Eukaryota; Metazoa; Chordata; Actinopteri; Salmoniformes; Salmonidae
Source: Ensembl
GGGAGAGCAAGUUAGAGAAAAACCUGGGUGAGAGGGUCAGAGAGACGGAGAAAGAGAGGGAGGUAGAGAUGGAGAUGGACGGAAUAGAAGGGGGAUUGAGAGAGAGAGGGAGGUAGAGAUGGAGAUGGACGGAAUAGAAGGGGGAUGGAGGUAGAGAGGGAGGUAGAGAUGGACGGAAUAGAAGGGGGAUGGAGAGAGAGGGGGAGAGCAAGGUAGAGGAAGAGAGGAUGAGGAAGGGAAAAAUAGGGAGCGGAGGGAGUGAAAAAGAGGGGGAGAUGGAGAGAGAGAGGGGUGGAAAGAGAGAGGUGAAGAGACAGUAGAGAGAGGAAGAGAGAGUAGAGAGAGGUGAAGAGAAAGAGAGAGUAGAGAGAGAGGAAGAGAAAGACAGUAGAGAGAGGAAGAGAAAGAGAGAACAGAGAGAGGAAGAGAAAGAGAGAGU